UACGUAGGGUGCAAGCGUUAUCCGGAAUUAUUGGGCGUAAAGCGCGCGUAGGCGGCAGCGUGUGUCGGGCGUGAAAUCCCACGGCUCAACCGUGGAAGUGCACUCGAAACUGCGCAGCUGGAGUCUCGGAGAGGAAGGCGGAAUGCUUGGUGUAGAGGUGAAAUUCGUAGAUAUCAAGCGGAACACCGGUGGCGAAGGCGGCCUUCUGGACGAUGACUGACGCUGAAGCGCGAAAGCGUGGGGAGCAAACAGG
Molecule: ribosomal RNA, 253 nt
Filed under: uncultured bacterium
Lineage: Bacteria
Description: partial 16S ribosomal RNA
Rfam family: Bacterial small subunit ribosomal RNA
Source: RNAcentral